Long non-coding RNA from Canis lupus familiaris (dog), 1167 nucleotides. RefSeq lists it as uncharacterized. NCBI's taxonomy places the organism in Eukaryota, Metazoa, Chordata, Mammalia, Carnivora, Canidae. The transcript has 4 exons. The record is from RefSeq and is a predicted model, not a curated record.
CUUGAGCCAAAACCCUGAAACUUGCUUCCCUACAGCUAGUUCCGGUGACAACACUGGAAUGCCUCCACACUCCAGACAAUGCCAACAUUGCCAUGCAAGGAUGUAAAAAUUGGAGGCUGCAAUGAAUCAACCUUGGGAAAGAAGCCAACAAGGCAGCAGAGAGAAUCAUCCAGAAACAAAGCCAGAGCCUUAAUGACAGCAUGAAGCCCUGGAUCAAACCAUUCUUGAUUUAGAAUAUCCCAGGGGAUCUUUGCCGAAUGCAAGGGAAGAAGAGUAACAGAAGAAAGCUCAGGAAUGGCAGGAUCCCUGAUUUGACCAAGGCAGCAAAGUACCAAGCCUGUUCAUAAAGCAGAUUAAUAAAUUAUGUCAUUUCCACCUGUGCCUGAGUGACAAAGCCAAAAAGCACAAUAACAGCAACAACAACUAAAGGAAACACCAUUCUGGCCAAAUCCCAUUUUAUAGAUGUGCAAACUGAAGCCCAGAAUGGCAACGAGACUCUCUCAAGGCUUUCUGAUUCCCAGGCUGCUCGUCUCACCAAUAUUCAAUGAUAUUUGAUGACUCUCAUUCAAUUCAUAUUGCGAUUACCUUCUAAUCAUGACAAGUGAACCUGUUUUGUUUUGUUUUGUUUUUUGUUUUUUUUUUUAAUUUAUGGUCAUGAUAUCACAUUUCCACUUAAAAUGAGCUUUGGUUGCUGUUAAAGCUUCCCACAGUUGAGGCCAACUUGAAACAAGGCCCUUAACAAUGCUGCCAGGUCUGUGUCCACCCCACCCCCACCAUCAUCAUCACUCCCCGAUGUGAGCAGACACAGGAUUUUCACCAUCCUCUACUGCCCCUUGCUGGCAUCCCCAGAAAUGCCCCAUGAUUUCAGUCCUUCUCUCCCCAAGCCUGUAUGGAAAACUAGAAGCUGAGAGAUGCAGAGAUUCCUCUAAAGCAGGGUCUCUCACUAUUUACAUUUGGGACUGGAUAAUCCUUUGUUACGGAAGCUGUCCUGUGCAUUUACAGGAUGGUUAGCAGCAUCCUUGGCCUCUACCCAUUAGGUGCCAGCGGCACUUCCAUCCAAUUGUGCCACCAAAAAUGUCCCCAGACAUUGCCAAAUGUCCCCUGGGAGCAAAAUCAUCCCUCCUCGAACCAUGGGUUACUCUAGAUGGAUGAGUGACACGUUCUUAU